AAUAAUAUGCUUAAAGUUUAGGCAGGCUUUUUGAAAUAUGAGAAGAUAUCCUCCCGGCCGUGAUCCAAUGGCCAAAAAUCAUGAGAAAAUCAUUCUGAAAAGAUAAGGAUAAGCUAAAAUCAAGGAAAAAGAUCAAAAAUAAAAGAGAAGAAAAGAAAACCACGGACUCUCUUCGACUAUAAAAGAGGCAGUUGUCAAAGCAU
RNAcentral lists this long non-coding RNA (203 nucleotides) under Carica papaya (papaya). Its description in RNAcentral is "long non-coding RNA (CPAP_LNC010474)". Lineage: Eukaryota; Viridiplantae; Streptophyta; Magnoliopsida; Brassicales; Caricaceae. The record is from RNAcentral.